GGUUAAAGUCAAUGGAAAAACUGGA
RNAcentral lists this non-coding RNA (25 nucleotides) under Cricetulus griseus (Chinese hamster). Lineage: Eukaryota; Metazoa; Chordata; Mammalia; Rodentia; Cricetidae. RNAcentral also lists the same sequence under 1 other name. The record is from RNAcentral.